Molecule: ribosomal RNA, 1047 nt
Filed under: uncultured bacterium
Lineage: Bacteria
Description: bacterial SSU rRNA
Rfam family: Bacterial small subunit ribosomal RNA
Source: RNAcentral
ACUCCUACGGGAGGCAGCAGUGGGGAAUUUUCCGCAAUGGGCGCAAGCCUGACGGAGCAAGACCGCGUGAGGGAGGAAGGCUCUUGGGUUGUAAACCUCUUUUAUCAGGGAAGAAGAUCUGACGGUACCUGAUGAAUCAGCAUCGGCUAACUCCGUGCCAGCAGCCGCGGUAAUACGGAGGAUGCAAGCGUUAUCCGGAUUUAUUGGGCGUAAAGCGUCCGCAGGUGGUUUUUCAAGUCUGCUGUUAAAGCGCAGAGCUUAACUCUGUAACGGCGGUGGAAACUGAGAGACUAGAGUAUGGUAGGGGUUGCGGGAAUUCCCAGUGUAGCGGUGAAAUGCGUAGAUAUUGGGAAGAACACCAGCGGCGAAAGCGCGCAACUGGGCCAUUACUGACACUCAUGGACGAAAGCUAGGGGAGCGAAAGGGAUUAGAUACCCCCUGUAGUCCUAGCUGUAAACGAUGGGUACUAGGUGUUGACCGUAUCGACCCGGUCAGUGCCGUAGCUAACGCGUUAAGUACCCCGCCUGGGGAGUAUGCACGCAAGUGUGAAACUCAAAGGAAUUGACGGGGGCCCGCACAAGCGGUGGAGUAUGUGGUUUAAUUCGAUGCAACGCGAAGAACCUUACCAGGGCUUGACAUGUCGCGAAUCUCGGUGAAAGUCGAGAGUGCCUUCGGGAGCGCGAACACAGGUGGUGCAUGGCUGUCGUCAGCUCGUGUCGUGAGAUGUUGGGUUAAGUCCCGCAACGAGCGCAACCCUCGUUUUUAGUUGCCAGCAUUUAGUUGGGCACUUUAGAGAGACUGCCGGUGACAAACCGGAGGAAGGUGGGGAUGACGUCAAGUCAGCAUGCCCCUUACGUCCUGGGCUACACACGUACUACAAUGCUUCGGACAAAGGGUUGCGAGCUAGCGAUAGCAAGCUAAUCCCGUAAACCGAGGCUCAGUUCAGAUUGCAGGCUGCAACUCGCCUGCAUGAAGGAGGAAUCGCUAGUAAUCCCAGGUCAGCAUACUGGGGUGAAUACGUUCCCGGGCCUUGUACACACCGCCCGU